Non-coding RNA from Pelobates cultripes (western spadefoot toad), 260 nucleotides. The record is from the annotation of a GenBank genome assembly. NCBI's taxonomy places the organism in Eukaryota, Metazoa, Chordata, Amphibia, Anura, Pelobatidae.
GGAAGGAGAGAUUUUGAUACUGAGAGAGAAAAUGGAAAAUAAGAGGAGAUCAAAGACACUCUUGCUUAAAUUUUUACGCUAAAGCCCUUCGUUUUUCAGGAUGUCAAUCCACCAUCCAUGCACUUUCUAGUGUAGGAAUUUGACGUCAGCCAAUAAGGAGCUUCUUACUGCUAUUUAAGCCCCUCUCUCCAUUACUUUGAUUUGGUUUUUGUACCCAAUACUGCAUUUAUAAAUACUCCUAUUCAUUUUUGGUAUUGAAC